UACGGGGGGGGCAAGCGUUGUUCGGAAUUACUGGGCGUAAAGGGUCUGUAGGUGGCUUGCUAAGUCAGACGUGAAAUCCCUCAGCUUAACUGGGGAACUGCGUCUGAGACUGGCGAGCUUGAGGGCAGGAGAGGAACGCGGAAUUCCAGGUGUAGCGGUGAAAUGCGUAGAUAUCUGGAGGAACACCGGUGGCGAAGGCGGCGUUCUGGACUGCAUCUGACACUGAGAGACGAAAGCCAGGGGAGCAAACGGG
RNAcentral lists this ribosomal RNA (253 nucleotides) under uncultured bacterium. Its description in RNAcentral is "partial 16S ribosomal RNA". It matches the Rfam family "Bacterial small subunit ribosomal RNA", at positions 524 to 776 of the family's 1533-position model. The record is from RNAcentral.